GCAGGGAAUCUUGCGCAAUGGGCGAAAGCCUGACGCAGCGACACCGCGUGGGGGAAGAAGGCUCGCGGGUUGUAAACCCCUUUUCUGGGGGAAGAAACAAGACGGUACCCCAGGAAUAAGCCUCGGCUAACUACGUGCCAGCAGCCGCGGUAAUACGUAGGAGGCGAGCGUUGUCCGGAUUUACUGGGCGUAAAGGGCGCGUAGGCGGCCGGGUCCGUCGGUGGUUUAAGCUCCAGGCUCAACUUGGAGAGGCCCACCGAUACCACUUGGCUUGAGGUCGGUAGAGGAGCACGGAAUUCCUGGUGUAGUGGUGAAAUGCGUAGAUAUCAGGAGGAACACUCGUGGCGAAAGCGGUGCUCUGGGCCGAUGCUGACGCUGAGGCGCGAAAGCGUGGGGAGCAAACCGG
Molecule: ribosomal RNA, 406 nt
Filed under: uncultured bacterium
Lineage: Bacteria
Description: bacterial SSU rRNA
Rfam family: Bacterial small subunit ribosomal RNA
Source: RNAcentral